UCGACUGAUGGCACAAAAAUGCAAAUGAUAUGACUUGGCUAAUGUAAGAAUCUCUUUUCAAUGUAAUUUAUUCAUCACGUAUUUGUAAUAGAUGAACAAGAAUGCAGGCGACAAGGAUUUUUCUAAAGUGGUUCAUAAUUUUGGACUGUACAACGCCCAUCGCAAAGAAAUAUUGCAUAUAUACUGAAGGCCGAAUGGGAUGCCCGCUAAGGAAGAAAGAAGAGUAUUUCUAGGCUGGCCGUGGUGUCAGUCGGAAUAUACGACCACAUGGAGUUUUCAAUCGUUGCACACAUGCAAUAUACGAUUGGAGGCAUAGAUGCAUUUUAGAACGUUCCUGGCCAAACAUAUCAGUCCAUCCUUGCCAAGAAAAACAAGAGUUUUCCCAGGAUGGCAACUACUAUCGUGUAGUUAGGCUUCGUUUUUCCAAACUGUUGGAUUUUGGGUUCUUCAACAGAUACGGGAUUGGACGUCACGCAAAAAUUUAAAGGCAGAAUCUGAGAGUUUUUUUCCGGGGUGACCGGUACACCGUGUCCGCAUCAAUAUAUCCCCUCAACAUAGACCACCCAGGGAGACCCUGUAUUAUUCUAUAGUAACGCCAAAGCAAUCUACUUCUCAUAGCAAUAAACAUUUCGUUGCGUUCCUUUCCAAACUCACCGGUCCAUCUUUAAAAAAACAUUUUUCCAGAAUAGCCACUACCUUGGCUUGGUGAUCGUCCACCCUCUCUACACGCCAAUCCUUUUGGAUCCCAGCUUCUUUACAAUUACGAGACUUGACGUCGCAAAAAGGAUUCUCGAAUAUCCAUUAGAGACCAAACGUGAUGUCCAUACAUGAGAAAAAAUCCAGCUUUCCCGGGUUGCCGGUAUACCUUAGCCGCAUGCACGGCCACCUCCACAUGGCCACCUAGUAGAAACCCGGACUUUUCAAUGGUUACCACAUAGCAAUCUGCGUGGGGAUGAAAAUGCGUUUGGAAGGCUAUAAGUGGUCCUGAUUAAUCAAAUCAUACAACCAUUCUUCGGAGUAUUCCAAAGACAGCCUCCACCAGGGUGUGGUUAGCUACCGCACUCUUUACAAUGCCACUCUGUAAACUAUCGGAUUUGUCUACAUUUAUGGACCCGAAAAUGGCCAAGAGAAAAUUUGAAAAUCCGUUCAUGGCCAAUUUUGAUGUAGUUAAAGAAGAGCUUUCCCGUGGUAGCGGGUAUGCCGGAUCUACAUGUGAUGACCCUCUCUACAACAGCCUCCCGGUGUUUCAUCAACUAAUACGCUCAUACAAACUUCGGCAGGAGGCAAAGAAGCGUUUUAAAGAAAUCCUGGCAAAAACAUCAGUCAAACCUUGUUUGGAAUCAAAAUACUUUUUAGGAUGGCCUAAACCUUGUCGUUGUGGUCGGCUAAUAUUUCUUCAACGCCCAUUCGGUUCCCCUUUGUUCCAGAGGUACGUUACUGGACAUCGCCAAUGAAAAUUGCAAAUAUCCGUUCGGAGCCGAAUGUGAUGCCCUCUCACGAGAAAAGGAGAGCUUUUUCGAGUUUGCUGGUAUCAGAGACCAACUCUACAACGGCGGUCCGGUAGGCGCCGUUGUCCCCUUGUUUUUCAAUGGUUAUGCCAACGCAAUUUACUGCUAGAGGUUCAAUUCAAAAUAAAAUCCAUUAUUCCAAACGUCAUUGUCAAGGAUGGCCACUAUCCGGGCGUGAUGGGCUUCCCCAAUCUCUACAAUGCCCACCCGGUUGGAACCCGUGUUCUUCUAAAGUUACGGGACUGAACGUCGUCAAGGAAUGUCGCGAUUAUCCGUUCACGGCGAUGAAAACACAAAAGCUUUCACAGGCUGCCCAGUAUGCCCAAUACUGAUUUACAGAAUCUCUGGACCGCUGGUCCUUUUAUGGCGACGCUCGAGCAAUUUACAGCUGCAUGGAAAAUAAGUUUUGAAGCGUUCCUGGCCAAAUAUAUACGAGUCCAAAGUUUUAUAUUUUAUAAACCUUGUCUUCUGCUACAAUAACAAAUUGUAACACCUUGUAAUGAUACACUAACCUUUAACAUUUAAAUAUUAAGGAAUUUCUGUAAUGUCUAUUCUUUGAACAUUAAAGUCAUGGAACCAAUAAACAACGAAAGCAGUAUUUCGUUCAAAAUCUUAACCUUGCAUUAUCGGUUAACAACAAUCAAUACGGACGACUGUUUUAGCCAAUGACUGUCAAACAUGUUUACAACAACCGUUUCGUGUUUUCCCAUUAUUUGUUUCUGAUUAUUGCUUAAAAUUUCGCGAAGAGGUGGAUGUGCUUCUGAAAUUAAAUGUUACAUUUGUUAGAAUAUGUAUUCAAACGGAUUAAACAUUCAAUAUAAUUUAAAAUAUAGAUAGAUAUAGUGAAAAACGUAAAUAUUAGUGACUCUGUGUUGCUCGAACUGUAAGAUCAAAUAUAUCACUUUCUAGUUAAUUAUGGACUUAAUAAUGAACUUGUGAGAAUGUCGUCGUGCUUUUGGAAUUAAAUCUAAGAUUAUAAUUCAUAUCGGAAUUAAUUUUCAGUUAAAACUGGAAUAUACAAAGAUAGGGUGAUUAAAUAUAAUGAUUGGUGAGGUUUUUUUAACUUAGCUUUCAAAAAAUAAUAACCUUAAAGUUAAAGUCUUAUUAAACAAUAAUUAUCCCGUGAUAUGCUGGACAUAAUGUUAGGUAAUGAAAAACUCACUGAAAGUGCUUGUGCGGUCUUAAGUUAGUAAAUAGACAUAAUUGUCAUUAUUUAAUAAAACAAUCAGAUUAAGGAUAUUUUUAUUGGAACGGAAACAAAUGAAAAUGUAACUAAUAAUGUACGUAUAGUGUUAAUGACAAUCAAUUAAAUGACCAAAGCAUUUUUGACAGUGGCCAUCAGUUUGAAGUUUGUAUCUAUUUGAGCUUGAGGAAGUAGCAUGCAUUAUACAACUUUAAAAAGCGGCACCGUAAAAGUUGUUAAAAUUUUGUAUAAAGUCUCUGACGGGAUACAUUGUAUUUCUGUAACACUGUUUUGAAGAUUUGAAAUAUCCACCAUUGAUGGGUCAUAUCUUAAUCAGCUCUUGUUAACAAUUUACAUAAAACGAUGUUAAUAAAACAAAUAAUUUUAAUUUAUCUGAAGAAACUAAGUUUGUAGUAGAGGAAAUACAUAAUUAUAUCAUUUUUUCUUUGCAGCAUCUCCACGAAAUUCUACAAUGCACUUUUAGUACAUAUACCUAAAACAACGUUUAAAAUAACUUUCCAGUUAUGGUAUUAAAUUACAACAUCAAGGCCUACGGUUCUGAUUGAUAGACAUUAUUUUCUUGCACACCGGACUGACGUUCCUGUGAUUUUACCCAUGCCGGCAAAACCCAUCUGGCACCCCCCAAUGCCAGAUGACUCUCGUGUUGUUAAUGACAACUAGUGGUUCAUGCACUGAUAAUAUAUUGUUUAUGUAAAAUACGAAAAAAGCAGGUACCUUGAUAGUUUUUCUGUUCCUUAUAGUAUAUUUUUCGAUUCAAAAUACGUUAGUUUACCGUAAGAACAUAACGUUACGCUACAAACGAUAAAACUAAAGUGGAACUUUGUUAUUGUGCGUAACGCAAAACAUCAUGACGUCACGUCUGCUUACGGAGGUUAAUUUCCCGCGCUUUGUAUUCAUUCUCUACUACAAGAAAGAGUGCUACACGAGAUGUAGACACUGAAAAUGUGGAAUUUGUAUGUGCAACACUUUUGUAAAUUUAAGAUGCAGAUUUUGUUCACAUGGCGGUAAGACAGAUGCAUACAGUGUCAGUAAGUUAAGGUAUGGUGAUAAUGUGUACUAGAAUGGAACCUUGAAAUGUUUUAAAGCUUUAAAACUAUUGAAGUGUUUCUUUCUUCAGUGUUGGAGAACAACACUCAGUAUACAGGAUUAAUUUGUCAAUACAAUUUUGAAUAUACAUAGAUAUAGAGAAUGAGUACAAUUAUAUUAUUUGUGAGUAGGUUUUAUUAUAAUGUUUGAUAUGUAUUUAAAUUGAAUUUAAUUUUUGAAAGGAAUUUGAAAUAUAUAUAGAUCCAGUGGAUGAAUGCAAUUAUUUGUGAGUAGAUUUUAUUAUAUUUUUUUCUGUGUAUUCAAAUUUGAUCUAUAUUUCAAUACGAUCAGAGUAUACAUAAACAGAGUGAAUGGAAAUAAUUAAUUGUGGUAUUUAGGUUGGAUUUAAUUUUCAACACAUUUUUGAAUAUACAACGACGAAGUGAGGAAAUUUAUUUAAUUAUUAAUAAUUAUGUUUAAUUGCGAUCGUUAACACUGAAAUCGGAUUGAAUUUCUAAUACAAUUUGGAAUAUGCACAUACAUCUUGAAGAUAUGUAAUUAUUGGUGAUAUUCUAAUUGGAUAUUGUUUUCAAUACAAUUCGGAAUAUUCAUACUUAUAGUGAAGGUAUAUGAUUGUUGGUGAAAUUCAGAUCGAAAUCAAUGUUUAAUACAAAUUGGAAUUUGCAAAGCUUUAGUUAAAAAAUACAAUCACCGGUGAGUAAGGUUUAUUCUAAUCAUUGAUAUAUAUUCGGAUCUGAUAUAAUUCCCAAAACUUUAGCAGGAUCCAUUGAUAAAAUCAAGAAAUAUGAUUAUCAAAUACCCUUAGUUUUAAUCAUUCUAAGAUCAUGAUGAUCUCUUUUUAUUGUAGCAUCUAUUUUUAGUGAACUUCAUAAACCGAAAGAAUUAUUUGGUCCAACGGACCGCAGAAACUAUUUUGACGCCGGAAAGUUUUGUCUCGUCCGUCAGUUAUUUAUCUAUUUAUUUAUUUGGGUUUUAAGGCGCAACAACACAUUAUAGGUUAUAUGGCGCCAAACAGGACUACAAAUUUUGGUUCCACAUCUCAUUUACAUCGAAAUAAAAACAUGAGGUAUAGAAUCAAACUUUGCAUACCUGCUGGAAUCACAGAGUUACCGCAAAACCAAGUGUUAAGACCCUAUUAGUCGCCUCUUACGAUCAUGCAAGGGUAAGGCAGUGGUUCCAAUUCUUUUUAUACACAGAUCGUCCCAGAACCACAUAGGGCUCCGUCCGUCAGAUAAAAUAGCUAAACAAUCAUGCUAUUAAAAGUGUUUUUUUUUCAUAUUUCGACAUUUGUUGCAAUAUUUAUAAACAAAAUGAUCAACGAAAUAAUCUGAAGGUCAGUGCAUGAGAUGUUUACUAUUAAUCUUCCCAACAGAACUUGCCGUAGUUACUGUACUAUAAUUGUUUUGAUUUUGUAAUUGAAUAUAUUUUAUUUUCUUUAAAAUUUCAAUAAUUUUCAAAAGCACAUUUAAAGCGUAGAAAUCACUGUCUGUGCUGUGCGAAUUGUACAAAAUCCCUAAAAUAUCUUUUGCAAAAUUUACCAUUUCUGUAUCCGGUCCUACCUUUUUCUGUCGGGAUAUUCUUGUUGAAAUAAAGUAAGUUUCUCCCCAAAUCCUUCAACAGUUAGAAGUUUAACAAGAAAUCAUAAAAAUUUUUGAAUCGAAUAAUACGUUAUGUGCAACUAAAAUUGUUUAUCUGAAGGGUUGUUUAAAAUCUUUGAAAUUAAUGAAAGAUAAUCGGGUAUCCGUUGAUAACCAACAUUCGCUGUUAUGGAACAUACAUUUUACGUGUAUUUCAUUAUUUGUAAUUUGUGUUGUUGCUUGUAGAAUCACACCAUUUGGCGGAUAGAUGUAAGUGUCAAACGUCUUCCCAGAUCCGGUAUCCAGAUCAGCUGGGUGAAUCAUAUUUGCAUCGACUCCUGAAAACAAUAUCAUGAAUUAAAUUUUUUGUAAUUUUCUAUAAUUGUUCAAGCUAUUUACACAUUAUGUUUGUUCAAUUUUAGGUUCUUACUUAUGAAUACAUCACCUCUAAAUUCGGUACAUUAUUUUGAUUGUAUAUCAAUCAUUAUAAUCUGUAUUUUGCUAAUUAUUGGUGUAACUGUCCAAUGAUAGAGUUAUGUCUAUUCAAAGAAGUGGAAACAACAGUUAAUUAUUUAUAAUGCAAAAAUAAACGUUUUAAAAAUAUCACAGAUUCUUCUUUAAAAGAAAUAAAUUUUGUUUUGCUAAUUUCUCCUGAAAUACUGUGGUAUCUUUAAAUUUUAUGACCUCCCUUUAAUUUUUGAUGAUAUUUUUAUAUAAUUGCUAAAUAAUACUUU
Molecule: long non-coding RNA, 6070 nt
Organism: Mercenaria mercenaria
Lineage: Eukaryota; Metazoa; Mollusca; Bivalvia; Venerida; Veneridae
Exons: 3
Source: RefSeq, a predicted model, not a curated record